GGGCCCCUAGCUCAUGCCUGGUUAGAGCAGCGGACUCAUAAUCCGUUGGUGCAGGGUUCGACUCCCUGGGGGCCCACCA
RNAcentral lists this transfer RNA (79 nucleotides) under Azoarcus sp. RNAcentral's name for it is "tRNA-Ile". It matches the Rfam family "tRNA". From Rfam's summary of the family: Transfer RNA (tRNA) molecules are approximately 80 nucleotides in length. The record is from RNAcentral. Lineage: Bacteria; Pseudomonadati; Pseudomonadota; Betaproteobacteria; Rhodocyclales; Zoogloeaceae.